Molecule: ribosomal RNA, 433 nt
Filed under: uncultured bacterium
Lineage: Bacteria
Description: partial 16S ribosomal RNA
Rfam family: Bacterial small subunit ribosomal RNA
Source: RNAcentral
AACGAACGCUGGCGGCAUGCCUAACACAUGCAAGUCGAACGAAACCUUCGGGCCUAGUGGCGCACGGGUGCGUAACGCGUGGGAACCUGCCCUUAGGUUCGGCAUAACUCCCCGAAAGGGGUGCUAAUACCGGAUAAUGUCUUCGGACCAAAGAUUUAUCGCCUUUGGGUGGGCCCGCGUUGGAUUAGCUAGUUGGUAGGGUAAAAGCCUACCAAGGCGAGGAUCCAUAGCUGGUCUGAGAGGAUGAUCAGCCACACUGGGACUGAGACACGGCCCAGACUCCUACGGGAGGCAGCAGUGGGGAAUAUUGGAAAGUGGGCGAAAGCCUGAUCGAGCAAUGCCGGGUGAGUGAUGAAGGCCUUAGGGUUGUAAAGCUCUUUUACCCGGGAUGAUAAUGACAGUACCGGGAGAAUAAGCUCCGGCUAACUCCGUG